ACUUCCUAACAAGGAAAAAGUGAUAACCAAAACAUAUUGAUUUUAUCAGUUUCUUCUCUUGCUAGAAUUCAGACUGCAGUGACACCCAAAGUAUGUUAGGUGAUUUCCAAAUGCAAAGGAAGACAGUCCCUGCCUCACAAAACAUACAGUCUGAAAAGACAUAUUGAUGAAGAGAGGAGGCAGGGGAAAGGAAUACAAAAUACAAGUUAAGUGAUCAAGGUGAUGGCAGGCAGAAGUCUCUUUACUUACAUGUUUGCUUUUCAACUCCACUCCCACCCAAUCUGCUGCCAGAAUUCAAACCUCUCUUCUUCCCCUUACCCUAACUCACAAAUUGUGUUCCAGUAUCCGUAUGCCCCUCCCUCCUAGUCUUCAAUAUCUUUCCGCCACAUAAAUGAGCAAUUUACUUAUAAAUAAAUGACAUGUAAACAGAUGGCUUGGUCAGCUAGCUUCUUGUGGGUGUUGAAGAAGUGGUCCUUCAGAAGGGAUUUAAAUGAGGACAGGGGAUUCCUCUGCAGACCUGUUCAAGGAAUGUAAUGAUACACAGUAGCAGGGGGAAAGUAUUGUUGUAAAAGAAGUGCACAAACAGGCCUUCACAGCUGGUGUUUCAAAUGGAGUGGAGGUGAAGUGAAGAAGGGGGGGAGUAGCAACAUUAAAAAAAAAAAAGAGGAUGGAUAAAUUGAAACUGACAAAGCUAGGCAGGAUAUUGAAGACGAUCACAAGAAGUCUGAACUUAAUAUGGUGAAGUCAGUGGACGGAUCAAAGAGGAAAGGAAAGGAGAGUGUUGAUCUGGUCAGAAUGGUGGGCAAAGUUUUAGCAGAUGUAUUUUGUAUGGACUCCAGGGGUGGAUGUGGUGAUGUGGGUCCUGGGAGCCUGAUGAAGAGUAGGUUACAGUAAUCAAAGUGGAGCUGUUCUAACUUAAGGCAUCCUUAUCCAGAUGCCUAUGGGCUUCUCUAGAGCCCAAAACUGUCAAAGCAUUCUAUUCUUCUACCAAUCCUUUCCACCUCCAGCAUGGCCCUAUUCCAAUAUAAAGUUCGCUCGUUACCUCUUUCAGUGCACAGGAUGGACUGUGAUUGAGGCAGAGGGUUCCAAGAAGAGAAAAGAUGUUCCCUUGCAUUUAAAACACUGGAAUGCAAGGCAAAAUAACGGGGUUCUACUGGUGGCUCUGCCACAGAAUUCCUAUGCAAUACUGAGCAAGCCUAUCAUAAUAGAUAUGCAUAAGGGUACCCAGUUCAGGUAAUCCAAGGAACCUUCAUACUGUCAUUGUCUAACUUUGAAGUGCUUGAUGUUUCAACCUUGUUAUUUUAAUGUAGUUUUUAUAUACAAUUAUAAUAUUAGUGACAAAAAUAUACAGCAAGCUGUAAUGGUUAAUUAAGGCAUUAAUAUAUCUGCCUAAAAUCCAAAUGCAGUUUCAAUUGGAUUUGGUAAUUUGUUUCCCCCACCUUAACUAUAGUGUAAUAUUGCCACCUGCAGUUAUAUUGCUAGACAGCACCACUUGGGUGCAACAUGGGCAUUGGUAGGUGAAGGGAUUCCUAUAAAAGUACUGUUUGUGAAAGCAGGUUUUGGGAUUCUUUGGGAUGAAAGGUGCUAUACAUAAAAGACAUUAUUACCACUGGCUGAUGUCAGUGUAACGUGUGGUGACAAAUGACUUUCUAAAAUAGAAUAGAAAACUUACACCAUGCAAGUAACUCCCAUGAUUAAUUAAAACAGAUUUAUUUUUAACUUAUUGACUAUUCCUAGUGAUUCCUGAUCAAAGAUUCAGACAGCAUUUCUAGUACAGCACUCAGUAAACUAAACAGUUCUUUCAACAUUGUGUUCUCAGAUCAUUCAGCUCUCCUGUCUAGUCAGUGUACUAAAGGUAACUUUAAAGGAAAUGUAUUCAACAAUCUCUUUAAAGUGGCAACAUACAAACACAGCCAGACUCAUUAUAUAUAUAUAUAGUGAAUAAAAAGUUACAACAUAUUUGGCCUUUGUGCUGAUUUUAUCAGAUUUCAGUCCAGGGAAUGCUCUUAAAGCGGAGUUAUAAAUCCCCUGAACAAUGUGGUGUGUAAUGGAAGUGUACAUAAGCCUUUAGAUAUAGGGUGCAAACAAGACCACUGUAUUCAUUAUUAUUUUCUAUUUCUCAUCCACUGAUUGCUCCAGUAAUGCUUGUUCUCUCUCAUUAAAUGGCUUUAUUCACUAAUUCAAAGCUGUAAUGCUUGUGUCCAUUCUUAUUCAGCUGCUUUACACACACACACACACACUUAUACUUGAUUUGUUCUUUAUAAGCUAGAGGGAAUCUCCCUACUUUGAACAAACAGUUCACUCGGAAAUGGAAUUUGAGAGCACAACCAUUCCAUUUCGCCUGGGGGAAAACCCCCUCAGAAGGCAGGUGCUCAGUCAGCCCUAACUUGCCCAAUAGCUCGUAAGACGCACGGAACAGCCACAGGAGAUACAGUGAAAGUAUGUAGAUCCGCAGCAAAUGUAGUGUGGCUCUGGAGUCCUUAAAGGUAUGAAGUGAUGCAUCGAUAUUGUCUGCAAACAGUUUGGAGCCCUCGAAAGGGAGGUCCUCGACCGUCAUCUGUACCUCCUUUGGCAGUCCUGAGAGGUGUAACCACGAUGCCCAACGCACCGCUACUGCCAUCGAUACCGAAUCAGCCGCUGUAUCCGUGGUAUCUAGUGCUGUCUGGAGAGCUGUUUUCACUACUAACUGUUCCUCAUGUAUGAUAAUCUGAAACUGUUCCCAUUGUGUUUCUGGCAGGUGGUCAAUAAAUGCAUUAAAUUUGGUGUAGUUCAUGUGGUCAUACUUUGCCAUUAAGGCCUGGUAAUUCGCAAUUCUGAUUUGCAAAGUCGCUGAGGUUUUUGUCUUUCUACCAAAUAAAUCAAGUCUUUUCCAGUCUAUCAUAAGGGGUGGCCUUAGAAUGAUAUUGUUGGCCGCAGGAAUUCACAGCAUCCACCACAAUGGAAUUAGGUGGGAGGUGUGAAAAGAGGAACUCUGCAUUCUUGGGGAGCACAUAGUACUUUUUAUCGGCCUUUUUGCAUGUUGGUGUGAUAGAGGCUGUAAUUUGCCAAAUGACCUUACCAGGAUCCAGAAGCGCCUCAUUAACCGGGAGGGCGAUUCUUGAGGAGGAGAAUGUGUGCAAUAUAUCCAGCAACUUGUGGUGGGUAUCUUUCACCUCCUCCAGGGGAAUUUGUAGUUUGUCUGCCGCCAUUUUUGUGAGUACCUGAAACAACUUAAAAUCGUCUACUGUGGACGAUGGAGGAAGCCUCACGGCCUUGUCCGGAGAAGAGGAGGAGAUAUUGGUUAGUGGUGUAACCUCCUCUUCUAAUCUGGCCUCUUGCACCUCAAAAUUUUCCUUUCAAGGUUCUGGGGCUCUGGACAUAGAGGCUGCAGGCGAUUGUCUUAUUGGCUCAGAAUAAGAGACACCAGAUGCCUGUGAAGCAUGGUGCCUGUAGGCUGCCCAUGGAUCCCAGUAUGGCCACUGGGGUGGGGGUACCCAUGGCUGGUCAUAUCAAGAGGGCUGAGACUUAGACUGAUGGUGUGACUGAGAAGGCCCUGGUUGGUGUUGAGAUGGGCCAUGAUGUGUGGGUAGUGAGAGGACAUCAUCCUGGUCACUAAUUGAAUCCUUGCUGGAAAGUGGUGGAACUGAUAAGGAGGCUGGAAGCAAACACCCCGUUGCUUGUGGUGAUUCUGGGAAUCGAGAAGUGCUCAGUACCGUGACCUUCAUACCGAGUAGCAGGGACUCUGGAGUCUCAGCCACCAUGAGAUCUCUGGAAAAAAAGAAGUCCUGCGGUACCGCAGUGGUCAGUACCAUCAGGGCUUGUUGGUGCUGACUCGCUGGUACUGAGGAAAUCGGGACAGAUCUUGCCCAAGAUGGUCGUCCGAUAAGGGUUGUUUGGAAACGGUCAGUAGCAAUGGUUCACAUGCCAGUACCUCCUUUGCAGAGAUGGUACAGACUGUGCUCUUGCCUUUGUCAGGCGAUGCUGCUGCUUCAGAGCCUGCACCCUUAGAGUCCUUAGGGCUUAUAGGCGGUGUCUGCACCAUAUGAGCCACGUGUCCUAUGGAUACCGUGCUUUGGAGUCAUCGGUGCUGCUGGUGCCGAGGUGACUGAUCGCACCAGGGAUCUCCUCUGGCUGGUCUGGGGCUGAGUUUGAGGACUUGCAAUGGGAGUCCGAAGAUUUCCUCCAUGGCUCACUGUCCUUAGAAGUAGAAGGCUCCGGGGAUGGUCUGUGUCGUGGAAUGGAUUCUGGACCAGGGUCAGAUGCUGGUUUAAGAGCAUCCUCCAUAAGGAUGAGUUUCAGCUUUAACUCCUAUUUUUUGGGGGAUCUAGCCUACAAUUGUUGGCAGAAGGUGCACUUCUGCAGAAUGUGAGCCUCUCCAAGGCAUUGGAUACAGCGGGAGUGUCAGAGGCACCUUUUAAACCCAGGGAGCUGGGCAUGCCCGUUAUUGGGGGUGAUCCCCAGAGGAGAGAAAAAGAAAGCGGGGAAGAAAAAGUUAUGUUUUGUUUUGUUUUUUAACUGGGAAAAAAACUAACAGAAACCCUAUAAGACUAAGAAAAAUCUAAUAGAAAUAAUAACUAAAACAAAACCUAACUCUAAGGUAAGGGAAAGGGGAUUGCUAUUUGCUCUGUCUCAGGCCGGGGGCAGUUAAGAAGGAACUAAGGGUGGUUCGCCCACGCAGCGCUAAUUAGCCUUGAGGCAGAACACAAGGGAGGGAGAGCGCAUGUGUUGUCCGAACAGAUACUGCUACCAAAGAUCUCCGAUGAGAGAUGCAGGGAUGCAGACACACCUACAGUGUAGCACCUAUAGGAUGAAGAAGAACUUACGAUUGUUUGCACUAUAAAUAUAUCUCAGUGUUGUUGUGUUAUAUGGGAGCUGAUCCUCAGUUUAAUCAAACAGGCUGGUGUGUACAUUGUUUCCUUUGGGGGAAAGCAAACCAGCAAUUUCUGUGAGUAGCCAGAGGCUGGAUAUCGCAGAGGAACGCUUCAAAGGGGCUCAGGACUGGAGUGCACGUAUAGUUAAUCUGCAAGGCAAAGUAAGGGUUGGCAUAGCCCUGAGGAGAUUGUUUGGGUGGCUAACAGAUUGUAGGUGUCAAGAACCUAACACCCAGCUAAGUAUCAGCAAGUCUCUCUCUUGCUGGAGCCAGAAGGGGUAACUGGACACUAUGAGAACCAUCAAAAUUGCAUAGAAUAAAAAACAUCUCCUAAAUAAAGGAUAGAAACCCUCUUGUGUCAGGGCAUAACUUAAUCAUUAA
Chrysemys picta bellii (western painted turtle) is the source of this 5230-nucleotide non-coding RNA. Lineage: Eukaryota; Metazoa; Chordata; Testudines; Emydidae. The record is from RefSeq and is a predicted model, not a curated record.